UACGAAGGGGGCUAGCGUUGUUCGGAAUUACUGGGCGUAAAGCGCACGUAGGCGGAUUGUUAAGUCGGGGGUGAAAUCCCGGGGCUCAACCCCGGAACUGCCUUCGAUACUGGCGAUCUCGAGUCCGGAAGAGGUUAGUGGAAUUCCCAGUGUAGAGGUGAAAUUCGUAGAUAUUGGGAAGAACACCAGUGGCGAAGGCGGCUAACUGGUCCGGUACUGACGCUGAGGUGCGAAAGCAUGGGGAGCGAACAGG
This 253-nucleotide ribosomal RNA is filed under the name uncultured bacterium. RNAcentral's name for it is "partial 16S ribosomal RNA". It matches the Rfam family "Bacterial small subunit ribosomal RNA", at positions 524 to 776 of the family's 1533-position model. The record is from RNAcentral.